UUUUAUUGUGUCGUUUGGCUGCACUCGGCUUCAGCCAAGCGCUUGCACUCAGUGACACGGAAUGUUGUUUACAUAAAGGACGUGGAGACAGCAGCUGAGAUUUGCGGUGGAAAAUACAGCAAACAGCUGUCAGGUGCUGCAUGCAUAUAAUCCAGAGUUAUCUACAGAAAACAUAUGCAACAAUUUCUAAACAUGUAGCUGUUCACAAAGAAUUUGAACCAUUCCAGUGUUGACGCAGGCAGCAAGUGUAUGGACC
This is a long non-coding RNA of Saccostrea echinata, 256 nucleotides long. RefSeq lists it as uncharacterized. NCBI's taxonomy places the organism in Eukaryota, Metazoa, Mollusca, Bivalvia, Ostreida, Ostreidae. The record is from RefSeq and is a predicted model, not a curated record. The transcript is spliced from 3 exons.